Molecule: unclassified non-coding RNA, 320 nt
Filed under: uncultured fungus
Lineage: Eukaryota; Fungi
Description: partial contains small subunit ribosomal RNA, internal transcribed spacer 1, and 5.8S ribosomal RNA
Rfam family: Eukaryotic small subunit ribosomal RNA (bases 1-73)
Source: RNAcentral
GCAAACUUGGUCAUUUAGAGGAAGUAAAAGUCGUAACAAGGUUUCCGUAGGUGAACCUGCGGAAGGAUCAUUACCGAGUUAGGGUCCCCUAAACGGGCCCGACCUCCCAACCCUUUGCUUACCACACCGUGUGUUGCUUCGGCGGGCCCGUCUCACGACCGCCGGAGGGCCGUAAAACGUCCUCUGGCCCGUCGCCCGCCGAUGGCCCAUACCCACAAACUCUGAACUAAGCGUGUCUUUGUCUGAGUAAUGAUAACCAAAUCAAAAACAAAACUUUCAACAACGGAUCUCUUGGUUCUGGCAUCGAUGAAGAACGCAGC